RNAcentral lists this long non-coding RNA (3792 nucleotides) under Homo sapiens (human). Its description in RNAcentral is "non-protein coding lnc-VN1R1-1:3". Lineage: Eukaryota; Metazoa; Chordata; Mammalia; Primates; Hominidae. The record is from RNAcentral.
ACAAUGCUGGGCGCGCGGACCUUACGGAAAAAAGCUGGAGGCUCCUGGAGGAGCGUUAAGAAAUGCAGUUCCGGGGCUCUUAAGGACGUGGAGGGGCUUUGCUGACUCCUAAACUGCAAGUAACCAGAUUUUCCCGGAGAGCAGUCUAGGACAAGUCUGAGAAAUAUUUCAGAGACCUGUCGUUUCAGAUUCUCUGAAGCACAGCAAGUCCCGAAAGGAAGAACAUCAGAAGCGACAUGGCUGACCAUAAUGAACUGGUCCUCCAUUCAUAGCGGUCAGCUCUUUUGUGCUUGUCAAGUACACACAUACUGAGGCUCUGGAGACUUUUUUUUGAUCGUUAGUGUGCUUCUGUUGGGACAAGAAAGAAAAGACCCACACAGGAUGUGAUGGAGAGUUGAAGGAGGAAUAUCUUUCUGUCGACGAAAAGGGUGGAACUUUGUGAAAUAGUUGAAGAGAUUUAUUCUGAGACAAAUAUGAGUGACUAAUGGCCCAUGACACGGCUCCAAGAUAUCCUAAGAACAUAUGCCCAGGGUGGCCCAUCUACAGCUUGGUUUUAACAAUUUAGGAAGACGUAAGACAUCAAUCAAUACAUGUAAAAUGUACAUUGGAUUCCUCUGGAAAGGCGCAACUGGAAGGGAGGGGCGGGGCUUCCAGGUCAGAGGUCCCAGUGAAAUAACGUCUAACCUGUUCAUCACCAUGGGCCAUAGUCAUCAAACAGGUAUAGUAACCACAGAGGUCCUUUAUGCUUUGCUCUUCACACCUUGUCAAAUCCAUGAUGACAUGUUAAGUUAGCAACAAGUUUGAACACUACUGUCUUUGCACUGGGUUUCUUGGCUAUUUAGACUCUGUUUAGUCCCCCCCACCUUUUUUUUUUUUUUUUUUUUUUUAAGACAGAGUCUCACUCUGUUGCCCAGGCUGCAGUGCAAUGGCAGGAUCUCAGCUCACUGCAACCUCCACCUCCCAGGUUCAAGCAAUUCUCCUGCCUCAGCCUCCCGAGUAGCUGGGACUACAGGCUCGUGCCACCACACCUGGCUAAUUUUGUAUUUUUAGUAGAGACAUUGGCCAGGCUGGUUUCGAACUCCUGACCUCAGGUGAUCUGCCUGCCUCAGACGCCCAAAGUGCUAGGAUUAUAGGUGUGAGCCACCGCGCCCCGCCUCCUUUUUUUUUUUAAUUGGCUCCCGUGACAUUGCCAUCCUUGAUAGUAUCACACCAUUUCUUUUCAUCUCUUUUUGCUAUCUUAUAUGUAACAGUUUAGUGAUGUACUUUCUUAAAGCAUUGUCAUGAAGAGGAUAAUAAUAGGGUAAAACUCAAGCAUAGGCUGGGCGCGGUGGCUCAUGCCUGUAAUCCCAGCCUUUUGGGAGGCCGAGGCAGGCAGAUCACCUGAGGUCCGGAGUUCGAGAUCAGCCUGACCAGCAUGGAGAAACCCCAUCUUUACUAAAAACUCCAUCUUUACUAAAAAAUACAAAAUUGGCCAGGCAUGCGCCUAUAAUCCCAGCUACUCGGGAUGCUGAGGCAGGAGAAUUGCUUGAAUCCAGGAGGCAGAGGUUGCAGUGAGCCAAGAUCACGCCAUUGCACUUCAGCCUGGGCAACAAGAGUGAAACUCCGUUAAAAAAACAAAAACAAAAAAAACUCAAGCAUAGGCUCUAGUGACUUGUUUCAGCUAAUAUCACAGACCAAGGGUUUUCUGAUUCUCAACAGACUGGUGACCAUUUGGACAGACUUUGCUUUGGGUCACUGAUAAAAUGGGAUAAGAUUCUCUUAUCUUCUUUUUCUUUUUUUUUUUUCUUUUUUGUCCAGAGAAUUAGGCAUUCAUUCAGAAAGAGUAUUCUCAGAUUUUCUGCAUGCUGAGGUGUGAAGAUUGUCGUGUUCUUGUGGGGAAGUAGCCACCUAUCAUGCUGUAGAACCAGGCCUAAGGUACAUAAUCAUUACACUCCUCUCAGACAGUGCCAGCACUUAUUGGAUCGUCUAAAUUGAAAUCGUCUCCUUUCCAGGAAAGUCUCCUGCAUGUUAUAUGUACUCUGAUUACAAUCACAAUUCUAGUGUUUAGGUUUCUAAGUGGCAUAACUUCACCCGGAUAAUUUUUGCCUUCAGUGGCUACUAGGAGGAACAUUUCAGUUGAAAAGAAAACAAAAACUGUUAAUUUAAGAGAUGCAUUAGAAAAGAAAGAAAACAAAAUUUCUCAGGCCCAGUAAGCAGUAGUUUUUUAUUGGAAUGAAUCGUAUUUGUACAAUCUCCAAGGUUCUGAAUAAAAAAUUGUUUCAGUAAAAAUUUCCUUGAAUAAAGCCAUUGAACAAUUUGGCAAACUUAAGCAAUAUCCUCCCCCUCCUAUUCCUCUAGUUGCUGCCUUAUAUCUAACUCUUCUACUUCCCCUUUACCCUUCUAAUCUUUCUCUUUUUUUUUUUUUUUUUUUGAGACAGAGUCCUGCUCUGUCAUCAGGCUGGAGUGCAGUGGCACAAUUUCGGCUCACUGCAAUCUCUGCCUCCCGGGUUCAAGUGGUUCCCCUGCCUCAGCCUCCUGAGUAGCAGGGACUACAGGCACGCACCAUCACGCCCAGCUAAUUUUUUGUAUUUUAGUAAAGACGGGGUUUCACCAUGUUGGCCAGGAUGGUCUCAAUCUCCUGACCUCGUGAUCUGCCCACCUUGGCCUCCCAAAGUGCUGGGAUUACAGGCGUGAGCCACCGUACCCUGCCUAAUCUUUCUCCUUCUGCACCUCCUCCCUCUUCUAUCCUUUGCCCAGGCCCCCUUUAUUUUCCCAAAAAAUAUCCUAAAAUUCCAAAAUGCCAAUUACCUCUAAAGAUCUAUGCUUUCAAGAGCCAAGUAUGUAGGCAACUGUCAGAUGUAAACCUUGGACCCAGGAUGAAUUAACAGCUGCAACUAAAGAUUUCUCUAAACCCAAAUAAGACUAGCAUGUGUUCAUAGAGAAAUUUCGAAUUCUUUCAUAUGCAUAUGACCCAGAGUUAUGUGACUUACACCAUGUUAUGGUUUAAACCUUUGUCUUCUCCAAACUCAUGCUGAAAUCUAAUUGCCACUGUAACAAUAUUAAGAGGUGGAACCUUUAAGAGGCUUCAGAUCAUGAGGGCUCCACCCUCAUAGGUGGACUAAUGCUAUCAUCGCAAGAAUGGGUUCUUAUUCCCUCUUGCUGUCUCUUUGCUCUUCUACCAUUUGAUGGCUUCUGUCAUGUUAUGAUGCAGCGAGAAGGCCCUCACCAGAUGCUAGUAUCUUGGUAUUGGACUUCCCAGCCUCCAAACUACGAGCCAAUAAAUGUCUCUUCUUUGUAAAUUACCCAGCCUGUGGUAUUCUGUUAUAGAAGCACAAAACAGACUAAGACAUGCCACUUGUAUACAUGUUGGUGUGAACCUCAGAUGAUAAAUCCUGAAUGAUGAAAGGUGAUUAGACUGACCUGGAUAGGCAGCUACAGGGCACCUUUUUCCACAAUAAACCACAAUAAAACUAUAGGUCAAAAAGGCUAGGAAAUUAAGAUCAAGUCUCCUAAAAGCCAUACCUCAAAUGUUUUCAAUCAAAAUCCAUUCGAACAGAGUAGCUACAAUUAAAAGAAACAGAAGAACACAACAAGUGUUGUCAAGGAUGUGGAAAAAUUAGAAACAUGUGCCUUUUGAUAAGAAUGUAAAAUGAUGCAGCCACCAUGGUGGCUGUGCACCUGUGGUCUCAGCUACUCAGGAGGCUGAGGUAGGAGGAUCACUUGAACCUGGUAUUGGACUGUGGUAAGCUGAGAUUACACCACUGCACCACUCCAGCCUGAGUGCCAGAGGAAGACCUGCCUCAAAAAAUAAAA